Molecule: ribosomal RNA, 330 nt
Filed under: Triticum aestivum (bread wheat)
Lineage: Eukaryota; Viridiplantae; Streptophyta; Magnoliopsida; Poales; Poaceae
Description: partial small subunit ribosomal RNA
Source: RNAcentral
AUGGACCAGCCGGCGGUGAUGUCAUUGAACGGCUUCCAGCAAGGAGAAGAGGGCGGGCCGGCGGCGUGCGACGGCCAGUAUCACAGCGAUGACCUCUUCCUGGUGGCGCUGACCACGGCGUGGUAUGAGAACGGCGCCCGGUGCGGGAAGCUGAUCAGCGUCAAUAGCUCCAACGGGCGAUCCCAUGAGGCUAGGGUCGUGGACGAGUGCGGCACCGGUGACGGCUGCCGCACUAACGAGAUCAGCACGUCCGUCGCUGUGUGGGAGGCACUUGGGCUCGAUACCAGCGUCGGCGAGGUAUCCGUCACCUGGUCGGACGUAAUCUGGUAA